RNAcentral lists this transfer RNA (72 nucleotides) under Pteropus alecto (black flying fox). It matches the Rfam family "tRNA". Rfam says of the family: Transfer RNA (tRNA) molecules are approximately 80 nucleotides in length. Their secondary structure includes four short double-helical elements and three loops (D, anti-codon, and T loops). The record is from Rfam by way of RNAcentral. Lineage: Eukaryota; Metazoa; Chordata; Mammalia; Chiroptera; Pteropodidae.
GGUUCCAUAGUGUAGCGGUUAGCACGUCUGCUUUACACACAGAAGGCCUGGGUUCAUGCCCCAGUGGAGCCA